GCUGAGAUCAAUGAGCUGAAGAAGAGAGAAUUAGUGAUGUAUAAGACCAAACAAUGGAGAAUAAUGAGGCUGUGAAAAAGAGAGAUAAACAACUACUGGACAAUGAGGGGAGAAUUCAGGAGAUAAGUGAUACUAC
This is a long non-coding RNA of Mustela erminea (ermine), 136 nucleotides long. RefSeq lists it as uncharacterized. NCBI's taxonomy places the organism in Eukaryota, Metazoa, Chordata, Mammalia, Carnivora, Mustelidae. The record is from RefSeq and is a predicted model, not a curated record. The transcript has 3 exons.